RNAcentral lists this ribosomal RNA (446 nucleotides) under uncultured bacterium. Its description in RNAcentral is "SSU rRNA". It matches the Rfam family "Bacterial small subunit ribosomal RNA", at positions 26 to 518 of the family's 1533-position model. The record is from RNAcentral.
AGAACGAACGCUGGCGGCAUGCCUAACACAUGCAAGUCGAACGAGACCUUCGGGUUUAGUGGCGCACGGGUGCGUAACGCGUGGGAAUCUGCCCCUUGGUUCGGAAUAACAGUUAGAAAUGACUGCUAAUACCGGAUGACGACGUAAGUCCAAAGAUUUAUCGCCGAGGGAUGAGCCCGCGUAGGAUUAGCUAGUUGGUGAGGUAAUGGCUCACCAAGGCGACGAUCCUUAGCUGGUCUGAGAGGAUGAUCAGCCACACUGGGACUGAGACACGGCCCAGACUCCUACGGGAGGCAGCAGUGGGGAAUAUUGGACAAUGGGCGCAAGCCUGAUCCAGCAAUGCCGCGUGAGUGAUGAAGGCCUUAGGGUUGUAAAGCUCUUUUACCAGGGAUGAUAAUGACAGUACCUGGAGAAUAAGCUCCGGCUAACUCCGUGCCAGCAGCCGC